GAUGAAGAACGCAGCGAAAUGCGAUAAGUAGUGUGAAUUGCAGAAUUCAGUGAAUCAUCGAAUCUUUGAACGCACAUUGCGCCCCAUGGUAUUCCGUGGGGCAUGCCUGUUCGAGCGUCAUUUACCCCCUCAAGCUCCGCUUGGUGUUGGGCGUCUGUCCCGCUUCGCGCGCGGACUCGCCCCAAAGGUAUUGGCAGCGGUCGUGCCAGCUUCUCGCGCAGCACAUUGCGCUUCUCGAGGCACCGGUGGGCCCGCGUCCAUCAAGCUCACCCCCCCAGUUUGACCUCGGAUCAGGUAGGGAUACCCGCUGAACUUAAGCAUAUCAAUAACGGAGGA
This 336-nucleotide unclassified non-coding RNA is filed under the name soil metagenome. RNAcentral describes it as "partial contains 5.8S ribosomal RNA, internal transcribed spacer 2, and large subunit ribosomal RNA". The stretch from base 1 to 120 matches the Rfam family "5.8S ribosomal RNA", at positions 35 to 154 of the family's 154-position model. The record is from RNAcentral.